This 478-nucleotide ribosomal RNA is filed under the name uncultured bacterium. Its description in RNAcentral is "partial 16S ribosomal RNA". It matches the Rfam family "Bacterial small subunit ribosomal RNA", at positions 28 to 523 of the family's 1533-position model. The record is from RNAcentral.
GACGAACGCUGGCGGCGUGCUUAACACAUGCAAGUCGAACGGUAAGGCCCUUCGGGGUACACGAGUGGCGAACGGGUGAGUAACACGUGGGUGAUCUGCCCUGCACUUCGGGAUAAGCCUGGGAAACUGGGUCUAAUACCGGAUAGGACAACUGCCUGCAUGGGGAGGGGUGGAGAGCUUUGGCGGUGUGGGAUGGGCCCGCGGCCUAUCAGCUUGUUGGGGGGGUGAUGGCCUACCAAGGCGACGACGGGUAGCCGGCCUGAGAGGGUGACCGGCCACACUGGGACUGAGAUACGGCCCAGACUCCUACGGGAGGCAGCAGUGGGGAAUAUUGCACAAUGGGCGCAAGCCUGAUGCAGCGACGCCGCGUGAGGGAUGACGGCCUUCGGGUUGUAAACCUCUUUCAGCACCGACGAAGCGCAAGUGACGGUAGGUGCAGAAGAAGGACCGGCCAACUACGUGCCAGCAGCCGCCGUAA